UACGGGGGGGGUAAGCGUUGUUCGGAAUUACUGGGCGUAAAGGGCGCGUAGGCGGCUCGCUAAGUCGGGUGUGAAAACUCUGGGCUCAACCCAGAGCCUGCAUUCGAAACUGACGAGCUAGAGUUCUGGAGGGGAAAGCGGAAUUCCUGGUGUAGCAGUGAAAUGCGUAGAUAUCAGGAGGAACACCGGUGGCGAAGGCGGCUUUCUGGACAGAAACUGACGCUGAUGCGCGAAAGCUAGGGGAGCAAACAGG
RNAcentral lists this ribosomal RNA (253 nucleotides) under uncultured bacterium. Its description in RNAcentral is "partial 16S ribosomal RNA". It matches the Rfam family "Bacterial small subunit ribosomal RNA", at positions 524 to 776 of the family's 1533-position model. The record is from RNAcentral.